RNAcentral lists this long non-coding RNA (3277 nucleotides) under Helianthus annuus (common sunflower). RNAcentral's name for it is "hypothetical non coding rna". Lineage: Eukaryota; Viridiplantae; Streptophyta; Magnoliopsida; Asterales; Asteraceae. The record is from RNAcentral.
CCAUCCAUUCAUUUUCGUUUUCCCUCCUAACCUAAUUCAUCUUCAUUUUCCCUCAUUCCCUUCCUAAAUUUCUCUCUUUUCUAACCCUAAUCUGUCUCCAACUUUACCACCACCAGCAACAAAAUUAUGAGAAUGAAUCCCCUCGCAUAUGAGCUGGUGACUGACGAAUAACCACCGCUUCAAUCUAACCCCCAAAAUUUGGUGACCGAGUCUUAAAUCAACAGGGAGUUAGGAACCUGCAUCAAGGAUAUCCAAUUGAGACUAUGAUCAAGUUUCUUAAAGCGCAAGACGUGAACAUCUCUAAAGAUCAUAGCAUGGUUAAAUCAAAAUCACUCUGUUUACAUGUGCAUAAACAUAUAAUUUCUGCAGAGUUUUAUAGACCGUGAGGGACUAGAAGCUUAUAGAGAUGUCAGGUUAUGUGACAACUCGUACUUCAGAACCUAUCUUUGUGUUUAAUGUAACGUAUGUGAACUUUGUGUGAUUAUCUGAUAUGUUGGUUUAAUGAAUGGUUUAAAUGAAAUAUUAUGUUUAUAGUACAAUGUGUGUAUAAUAUGUAUAUAUAUAUAUGUUGUUGCACAACUCAACUCAACCGCACAACGCUCGGCCGAUCGCACAAGCCUUUGGGCUUUGGUUCCACAUCACUCUCGGCCGACACUCUUGUGUAAUCGAACCAAGGGGCAGCCCAUGUAAAGGGGUUCGGCCCACUCUCUUAUAUAUAAACCAACAUAAACCUUGUGAGAUUUAGGUUCCUUAUUACUUGCAAAACGCAACACACACACAAACCCUAGCUUUCCUCUUCUCUCUUUUGUUCGACGGCUGUCCCAUCAUUCGAAGUUCUCCCAUCUCGAUCAAGAUAGCCCUUUGAUUUCUGAUCACACAAGUCUCUUGAUCGCACAAGAGGUUCCGGUCGCACAAGACCGAACGCACAAGGGAAUCGCACAAGUUAAAUAAAUAGGGUACAACAGCUAAAGCAUCCUGUAUAACCUCCUAAAGCACAGUCGCACAACAUCUUGUGGAUCGCACAAGAUUGUGCUGAUCGCACAAGAUGUUGGGCCGCCCAACAUAAUUUAUUAUUUUAAGCAGGUGGGCCGAACAACCCAAAAUCCGAUCACACAAGUUAAAUGAACCGCACAAGAUUAGUUGACUGUUAAAUGUUUGGGCCACACAAGUCUUUGGGUUGCAUGAUUAUUUGGGCCGAGUUUGGAUCGAAUCGCACAACCCAUUGUGGAUCGCACAAGUUAUGCUGAUCGCACAAUAGGUUGGGCCGGUUGUCAUUGGGCUUUAAUAUUAAAUCGCACAAGAUGAUUGGGCUCGCACAAGCUCAACAACCCAAUCACCUGAGUCGCGCAAUUUGGGCAUUAUGUGUGUACUUAACUGUUAACGUGAUUCUACGUGUUUGCCAUGAUCAAAACGUGAUAUAACCUGUUAGUUUAUGUGUAAAACUUAUGUGCACUACUUGAACCUAUACCUGACUUGUAUGGUAACCAUGUUAGGACGUGGUUGAGCACUAGUAGCUCAAUCGACCCUUACUUAUCUGCCGAGCUAAUCUAAGGUGAGUUCACACUUUUCUACAAAGCAUGGGAAUUCUCAGGGGUUGGGAAUGGGUUAAGGAAUAGGGAUUCCUCGUCCUGUUGGGACGUGUUCAGGAAUGUGAAUUCCUCCUCCUAUUGAGACGAAUUUAGAUUUACUAGACUAGAACUCUAUCAACGAAGUCCCUCCUUUUAUAUCGACUUAAUCGCCGAGGCAAAUGGCGAGCGGGUCAUUAGUUAAAUAGCGCUAUUAGGUUUAACAAACCUCACACCGUGCCGCUGAGGACAGGCGUGAACUAAUGGACUAGGCACGUCAAUGAUGAUAGACAUUGACGAGGGCACAUAAACAUGACGAACGUUAGUAGUCGAUAUGGUAAGGAGUUUGGUAAUUUAAACAUGGGGUAGCCCCCACGGCCGAAGAGCCGGGCUGGAAUAGCCGAAGUAAAAAAAACGGGUUAACUAAUAAACGUUUUCGAACUAUGGGGUAACCACCACGGCUGAGCUGCCGGUUAAGAUUCAACUGUGUUUUCGGAACAACUCUAAAACGGACAACCAACUGUGAACUCGCUCAACUUGUUGUUGACUCGUUACUACAUGCUUUGCAGGUCAUUAGGUUUAGCAGGAGCUUGCAUAGAGAAGAUUCGUUGUGGAGCAUGGACAUUGAGUGUUCAUGAUAAACUUAAAUAUUUUUGAAUUUAUGAUUUGGGUUUUGAACUAUUUGCUUCCGCUGAUAACUUGACUUGUUAAACUGUUUAUUUGGGACACCAAUUAUACUGUGUGAUUGAACUUUUAAUUACUUUACUAUUUUGUUCAAUAUGAUUGGUGGCUUGAUCCUGGUCAUGUCACGCACCCAGCAGUGAUUUUCCGCGUGUGGAUUUCGGGGGUGUGACAGAUUACACAAAAGAUGUUUGAAGAAGCACACCAACCGCUCGAUGAAAUGCUUAACCAAACUGACUACUUAUUACAUAAUGAAAGAACAAGCUAAGGCAUCUGUUUGAGAUAUUGGUUACUCUAAAGCUGCUGGCUUUUUAACGUUCAUUCAAGAUAGGAUAAAAAUAUGUUCGAAUUUGCUAGUCAGUGUAAAAUAAAUUUACAAUAUGUGGAAUGACACCAUAUAUCACAUAAGAGGAAAUCGACACAUGCGGCAUUUCAUUAGAACCAGCCCAACUAGGAAGCCGCUAGAGGACCAAAGACAACAAAAACAAGGAAACCAAUGGAAAAAAAAUUCAAGCAUUAUAUUACAUGAAAGUAAAAAGCCGCCAGCUAUCGGCAUCAAGACCCAUGAUCCCAGCUCUGUUUGACAACCCGAAAGCCUUAAUCUCUUAGACAACUUGAGCCGUAGACCUCCUAAGAUGGUUAAAAUUGAGGGUGUUUCUAGUUUUCCAUAGAAACCACCAAGCGGCGAGGAUCAUGGAUUGAAUAGAUCGAUUUUUACUUUUUCGGCAAGCUUAAAAAUGAGUGCAGAGUCAACAAAUCUUAGCUGUAGUCCUUGAUGAUCCUGUGCUUGCAGGUGUACCAAAGAAGCCAACUCUACCAGAUGUUGACACCCUGAUCAGCUUGGAACUCUGUAGUGCUAUGCAUGUUUCUGUAAUUAAAUUAGACAACACAUCUUUUGUGAUGAAUUCAGCAACAGUCAAGGAUUUGAAACUAGCUGUCAAGAAAAAGGUCAAUGAAAUGGAGCAGUGAAAGAUGGGUCAUCGCCACAUUUCUUGGUUGGGAAAGGAGUAGAGGAAUACUCGGCUGCGGAU